This 1597-nucleotide long non-coding RNA is filed under the name Salmo salar (Atlantic salmon). RNAcentral describes it as "lncRNA (ENSSSAG00000091431.1)". The record is from RNAcentral. Lineage: Eukaryota; Metazoa; Chordata; Actinopteri; Salmoniformes; Salmonidae.
ACACAACAGCUAUACAUAACUAGGUGAAAGCAGACCUGACGCAACACACACACACACACAAUAAGCACACGCACACACACACACACACACACACACACACACACAAUAAGCACACUGUGGUAAGACUGUUUUGGGUUGCAUUUUGUCUGCAUUUAGCCAAUCUGUAACAAUCAGAAGAAUAAAAUACACAUCCAAACAUCUUGACCUUUCAACAAACAGCAAGAUGGAAAUGAACCUUGUGAAGGAAACAGCAACAUAAAGUGUUUUAAUAGGAGGUAACUGGCAGAAUAAAGGAAACUCCAACAGUGUUUUAAUAGGAGGUCGGGUCGUCCACCAGGUAACUGGCAGAAUAAAGGAAACUCCAACAUAGUGUUUUAAUAGGAGGUCGGGUCGUCCACCAGGUAACUGGCAGAAUAAAGGAAACUCCAACAGUGUUUUAAUAGGAGGUCGGGUCGUCCACCAGGUAACUGGCAGAAUAAAGGAAACUCCAGGUCCUCCACCAACCACCAGGUAACUGGGAGAAUAAAGGAAACUCCAACAGUGUUUUAAUAGGACGUCGGGUCCUCCACCAACCAGAACAGCUUUAAUACACCUUGACAUCGAUUCUACAAGUGUCUGGGAAGUCUAUCGGAGGGAUGAGACGCCAUUCUUCCACGAGGAAAUUCCAUCAUUUGGUGUUUUGUUGAUGGUAUUGAAGCCACCUUGCAGCCAUUUUGGCUCUCCUUAAUGAUGUGUAUAAACCCUGGAUGGCUGACAGGGGGGUGCUGUAUUGAAGCCACCGUGCAGCCAUUUUGGCUCUCCUUAAUGAUGUGUAUAAACCCUGGAUGGCUGACAGGGGGGGGGCUGUAUUGCAGCCAUUUUGGCUCUCCUUAAUGAUGUGUAUAAACCCUGGAUGGCUGACAGGGGGGUGCUGUAUUGAAGCCACCGUGCAGCCAUUUUGGCUCUCCUUAAUGAUGUGUAUAAACCCUGGAUGGCUGACAGGGGGGUGCUGUAUUGAAGCCACCGUGCAGCCAUUUUGGCUCUCCUUAAUGAUGUGUAUAAACCCUGGAUGGCUGACAGGGGGUGCUGUAUUGCAGCCAUUUUGGCUCUCCUUAAUGAUGUGUAUAAACCCUGGAUGGCUGACAGGGGGGUGCUGUAUUGAAGCCAUUUUGGCUCUCCUUAAUGAUGUGUAUAAACCCUGGAUGGCUGACAGGGGGGUGCUCUAUUGCAGCCAUUUUGUCUCUCCUUAAUGAUGUGUAUAAACCCUGGAUGGCUGACAGGGGGGGGGCUGUAUUGAAGCCACCGUGCAGCCAUUUUGGCGCUCCUCCAUUGUAAAUAAUAUGUUGGACGAUAUAGAAAUCCAUUUACUAAAUGUCAUUACAUUAAUUUCUGACAUGUUUAUUCCAUUAAGACACCGUAAUGUAUAAUUUUACAUAUGUGAGCUAAACUAAAAUAUUUUUUUAGCGCCCCCCCCAACCCCUUUAAAAAUACUAAUGUUACUGUCCCCCACUACAAACAACAACAAAUACUUAAAUACAUGUAAUGUUGUUCUUGAAACCUUUAAUUGUAAUGCUGUAAACUUUCCAUUCAAUCCUAUGGAGGACUGUCAAAAUGGCCG